RNAcentral lists this ribosomal RNA (549 nucleotides) under Hoplodactylus sp. Kaikouras. RNAcentral describes it as "partial 16S ribosomal RNA". It matches the Rfam family "Bacterial large subunit ribosomal RNA", at positions 1809 to 2594 of the family's 2925-position model. Lineage: Eukaryota; Metazoa; Chordata; Lepidosauria; Squamata; Diplodactylidae. The record is from RNAcentral.
AAAAACAUAGCCUUUAGCCAAACAAGUAUUAAAGGUCUAGCCUGCCCAGUGAACUAUUUCAACGGCCGCGGUAUCCUAACCGUGCAAAGGUAGCGUAAUCAUUUGUCCUCUAAAUAGGGACUUGUAUGAACGGCUAACUGAGGGCCCAACUGUCUCCUUAGACCAAUCAAUGAAACUGAUCUUUCAGUACAAAAGCUGAGAUAAACACAUAAGACGAGAAGACCCUGUGGAGCUUAAAACUCAUACUAUAAACCCCCAUCCAACCCUAAAGGGAAACCCCCCGCCUAUAGUAUAAAGUUUUUAGUUGGGGCNACUUUGGAAUAAAACAACACUUCCAUGCCAGGGACCCCUCCCUAAAAAGGCCGACAUGCCAAAAUAAUACUCAUUGACCCAGCCUGUCUGAUCAACGAACCAAGUUACCCCAGGGAUAACAGCGCCAUCCUCUUCAAGAGUUCCUAUCGACAAGAGGGUUUACGACCUCGAUGUUGGAUCAGGACACCCCGGUGGUGCAGCCGCUACCAAAGGUUCGUUUGUUCAACGAUUAAUAGU